This is a long non-coding RNA of Aegilops tauschii subsp. strangulata, 979 nucleotides long. RefSeq lists it as uncharacterized. The record is from RefSeq and is a predicted model, not a curated record. Lineage: Eukaryota; Viridiplantae; Streptophyta; Magnoliopsida; Poales; Poaceae.
UCCGCGUCACGCACGGCCGUUUCUGAAACUGGGUGGCUGUUUCAGGACUCAUUUAUGCAGCUGCAUAACGCUCUCGCAGUGCUCCUGCAGGUCCCUUGUGUCUGGGAGGGCGACGGUGGUGGGCUAGGAGGACGACGGGGGCUGCGACGGCGCACGGUGUGGGGUGACGGGGGCGCAUCCAACGCAGUGGCGACGACAACAGCUUCAGGGUCGGCAGUGGCUGGUGGCGACAAAAGCAACAUGCCCGUCUACCAAACUCGAUGGUCGGCAAAGCGGCUGUGCGAGCGGUAGUAUCUAACAUGCUCUGGUUGUUGUAUCAAUGGAUGUGUAUGCUCCGCAACAAAGCAAGUCACUGUCCAUCUCUGCUCCCUAAGCCCAACAAUCAUGUGUGCCUUACAAUCAUGAUGGAGAAUCCUGUUCUUCUGGCGUGUUAUUGUUACAUCCAUUUUCAGCACUAGGCCACCUGCUGGAGUUGCUUGUUUCUGUUGCAAUGCUCUCCGAGGUGCUACUUGUUUCCGGUUUAUCGGGCUUUCUAGCAUGCACACACCCAAAGACCCUCUUGAUCAUUAUUGCAUCCUCUUGCUUCUGGCCCCUCUUCUAGUUGUACUUUGUAGAAGAUAUAUGUGUCCCGAACCCCAACUUGAAGGCAUAGUCAUUAUAGAAUUUCUUGGCAUCCUCAAUUGUGUCAAACACCAUGCCAACAUAGGGCGGUAGUGGUUGCGAUGAAAUAUCUCCAUCAUCUGAAUCAUCUUGCAUCGCAUCAUCAGCAUGCAACAAACCUUCCGAAUCUUCAUUAUCAUCGAUAGAAAAGUUCCCUUGGACAUAGCCCCCUUCCCCUUCAGUCGCAGCUUCCUGAAAUGCGGCACAUUUUUUUUUGUAAAUAGAGCAGGUGUUGUGCAACAGUCAUUUUUUCCUCUACAUGGCAUCAACAGUUCUGUUGCUGUUUCAGAAAUUCAGGAACACAGAUACAUGGCAUAAA